This 746-nucleotide ribosomal RNA is filed under the name Escherichia coli. RNAcentral's name for it is "partial 23S ribosomal RNA". It matches the Rfam family "Bacterial large subunit ribosomal RNA", at positions 116 to 905 of the family's 2925-position model. Lineage: Bacteria; Pseudomonadati; Pseudomonadota; Gammaproteobacteria; Enterobacterales; Enterobacteriaceae. The record is from RNAcentral.
GAAUGGGGAAACCCAGUGUGUUUCGACACACUAUCAUUAACUGAAUCCAUAGGUUAAUGAGGCGAACCGGGGGAACUGAAACAUCUAAGUACCCCGAGGAAAAGAAAUCAACCGAGAUUCCCCCAGUAGCGGCGAGCGAACGGGGAGCAGCCCAGAGCCUGAAUCAGUAUGUGUGUUAGUGGAAGCGUCUGGAAAGGCGCGCGAUACAGGGUGACAGCCCCGUACACAAAAAUGCACAUGCUGUGAGCUCGAUGAGUAGGGCGGGACACGUGGUAUCCUGUCUGAAUAUGGGGGGACCAUCCUCCAAGGCUAAAUACUCCUGACUGACCGAUAGUGAACCAGUACCGUGAGGGAAAGGCGAAAAGAACCCCGGCGAGGGGAGUGAAAAAGAACCUGAAACCGUGUACGUACAAGCAGUGGGAGCACGCUUAGGCGUGUGACUGCGUACCUUUUGUAUAAUGGGUCAGCGACUUAUAUUCUGUAGCAAGGUUAACCGAAUAGGGGAGCCGAAGGGAAACCGAGUCUUAACUGGGCGUUAAGUUGCAGGGUAUAGACCCGAAACCCGGUGAUCUAGCCAUGGGCAGGUUGAAGGUUGGGUAACACUAACUGGAGGACCGAACCGACUAAUGUUGAAAAAUUAGCGGAUGACUUGUGGCUGGGGGUGAAAGGCCAAUCAAACCGGGAGAUAGCUGGUUCUCCCCGAAAGCUAUUUAGGUAGCGCCUCGUGAAUUCAUCUCCGGGGGUAG